ACUACGGGAGGCAGCAGUGAGGAAUAUUGGUCAAUGGGCGGAAGCCUGAACCAGCCAAGUAGCGUGCAGGAUGACGGCCCUACGGGUUGUAAACUGCUUUUAUACGGGAAUAACGCGCCUUACGUGUAGGGCUUUGCAUGUACCGUAUGAAUAAGGACCGGCUAAUUCCGUGCCAGCAGCCGCGGUAAUACGGAAGGUCCGGGCGUUAUCCGGAUUUAUUGGGUUUAAAGGGAGCGUAGGCCGCAUGUCAAGCGUGCUGUGAAAUGUCCGGGCUCAACCCGGGCCUUGCAGCGCGAACUGGCGUGCUUGAGUCCGCGGCAAGCAGGCGGAAGUCGUCGUGUAGCGGUGAAAUGCUUAGAUAUGACGAAGAACCCCGAUUGCGAAGGCAGCUUGCUGCAGCGGAACUGACGCUGAUGCUCGAAAGCGCGGGUAUCGAACAGGAUUAGAUACCCCUGUAGUC
RNAcentral lists this ribosomal RNA (460 nucleotides) under uncultured bacterium. RNAcentral describes it as "partial 16S ribosomal RNA". It matches the Rfam family "Bacterial small subunit ribosomal RNA", at positions 338 to 795 of the family's 1533-position model. The record is from RNAcentral.